GAUGAACGCUGGCGGCGUGCCUAAUACAUGCAAGUCGAGCGAACAGACGAGGAGCUUACUCCUCUGACGUUAGUGGCGGACGGGUGAGUAACACGUGGAUAACCUACCUAUAAGACUGGGAUAACUUCGGGAAACCGGAGCUAAUACCGGAUAACAUGUUGAACCGCAUGGUUCAACAGUGAAAGACGGUCUUGCUGUCACUUAUAGAUGGAUCCGCGUCGCAUUAGCUAGUUGGUAAGGUAACGGCUUACCAAGGCAACGAUGCGUAGCCGACCUGAGAGGGUGAUCGGCCACACUGGAACUGAGACACGGUCCAGACUCCUACGGGAGGCAGCAGUAGGGAAUCUUCCGCAAUGGGCGAAAGCCUGACGGAGUAACGCCGCGUGAGUGAAGAAGGUCUUCGGAUCGUAAAACUCUGUUAUUAGGGAAGAACAAAUGUGUAAGUAACUAUGCACGUCUUGACGGUACCUAAUCAGAAAGCCACGGCUAACUACGUG
Molecule: ribosomal RNA, 497 nt
Filed under: uncultured bacterium
Lineage: Bacteria
Description: partial 16S ribosomal RNA
Rfam family: Bacterial small subunit ribosomal RNA
Source: RNAcentral